RNA transcript from Sapajus apella (tufted capuchin), 2726 nucleotides. It is a transcript of the gene named 5-formyltetrahydrofolate cyclo-ligase, with no coding region annotated. Lineage: Eukaryota; Metazoa; Chordata; Mammalia; Primates; Cebidae. The record is from RefSeq and is a predicted model, not a curated record. The transcript has 4 exons.
GGCUAGGUGACAGAGGGAGACUGCAUCUCAAAAAAAAAAAAUCUUCAUCUGGUGGAAUUCAUCAAUAUUUUCUUUGUUCACUGUCUUCAUUAGACAUUGAUGUGUAUAGAAUGACAUGUUAACUGCUCAAUGAUAAUAGACAAUGAUUAUUGUCAUAAUAAUAAAAAUCAUUUCAGAGGGCCUCAUUUUACUUGCAAAACAUGGGCUUUCGGGAGGAGCACAAUGAAGUGGAUACCUCCCUAGAGUGUAAUCUAUGAGUAUGUACUGGCAGGAGAAAAAGAGGAAGAAGAGAGGGACAGUUUCCUUCCUCUGUCAAGUCAUGACAGCUGUCUCAGAGCACAACCCACACUUAAUGUGGACGCAGAAAAUGGAUUUCUUAGGCUAUCUUUCAAAGAAAAUCCCCCUGGCUGGUGGUAUCAUCUGCUCUGCCAGUGAUGCCCAUAAAAUGAUUCCAAGGCACUACAUUGCUCUUAAGUCUCUGUCAACUACCAAAGAGUUAUGUUUGAUUAAUGGUUUAUGUUUCAGUAUUAGUCACACUAGGCUCUGAGCUACUCGAAGGCAUGUAACCCCAGGUUCUGGAACCUUGUAAUAUGCAGAUGCAAAUACUUGCUAGAUGAACAUUUGAAAAAAGUAUGUUUUAACAGUUUUCGAGUAUUUUGGCACUUGUUUUGAAAUGUAUGGAGUGGAAAGAAGUAGGGUGUUUGCAUUCUAGUCCAGGUCCAAGCACCAAGGGGUUGACUAAUCUUAGGUAACUGAUUUUUUUGUGUGUGUGCCUCAGUUUCCUCAUUUGUUAAAAGGGCAUUAGGCAAAAUGAUCUCAGAGGUACUUUUCAGUGAGAAUUCUAUGAUUAUAGAUUAUAAAUUAAAUGUCCAGUUAAUUGGGUUAUCCUGUAUUUUUAAAACUGUGUUUAAAAAGAGAAUAGAUUAUAAAAGAAACCAUCAACCUUUUUAUAGCUUCAAAGGUAUUGCUUUAAUUUGGAUUUACUGUUCUCAUGAUUUUCAAUACAAUGCACUUUACAAUAUAAUAGAAUUCAUAUUACAAAUAUAAGUACAUUGAAAUCAAUGUUGGACGAUUAAGAACGAGAAGACAAAAUAGGCUUUCUAUCUAGAGCUGUGCUUGCUGUCCACUAUGGCAGUGAAACGUGGCUAGUCUGAAUUAAGAUGAGCUAUAAGUGCUAAAUACUAAUUGGAUUUUGAAGGUUAUGGAAAAGAAUCUCAUUAGUGAUUUGAUAUUGAUUUACAUAUUGAAAUAAUUAUGUCUAAAUAUAUCUUAAAAAUUAAUUUUUCCUGCUUUUCUUUUUAAAAUGUGGCUACCAAAAAUUACAAUUACAGAUGUAGGUCAUAUGUGUUUCUGUUACUAUACAUUCAUCACAUAAGGAGACAUUUCCAUCAACCACUGUGGUCCCCUAAGAUGAUAAUGGAGCUGAAAAAUUCCUAAUACCUACUGAUGUGGUAGCCAACCAACACAUUACCUUUUCUGUGUUUAGAUACACACAUAUCAUGAUGCUACAACUGCCUACAGUAUUCAGUAGAAAAUACACUGUAUCAGGUGUGUAGCACAGGUGUGUAGUAGCUUUGUGUAACUAAUGUGUGCACAAGAAGGAAAUCGUGAUAAUGUCGCUGCUCGUACUGCCUUGCCCUGCCUUGUCCUUCUUUUCUGGCCCGAGGCCCCAGUACUGCACAGUACAAGAGAUUCCAGGCACCGGGGAUACUGCCAGAUGCUUUCACCAUCCCCGCCGGCGGCGCUGCCACCUCCGCGGUCCCGCUGAGGGCCCGGGCCCAGGUCAGGCGGCAGGGCAGCCACGGCGCGCCACCACGAAUCCCGCUAGCCGGGGAGGUCGGGCCGGACCACGGGGGCCGUACGAGGGCUGGGUCCUAAGGGCCGGAGGCGAGGUGAUUGCCCACAGUCAGUAUCAAAAGGCCAAAAGAAUUUCCAUCUUUCUGAGCAUGCAAGAUGAAAUUGAGACAGAAGAGAUCAUCAAGGACAUUUUCCGGCGCGGCAAAAUCUGCUUCAUCCCUCGGUACCAGUUCCAGAGCAGUCACAUGGAUAUGGUGAGAAUAGAAUCACCAGAGGAGAUUUCUUCACUUCCCAAAACGUCCUGGAAUAUUCCUCAGCCUGGUGAGGGUGACAUUCGGGAGGAGGCCUUGUCCACAGGUAUAGAAGACAGAACUGAACUUCAAGCCUGAUGGUGCUCUGGCAACAGAAAGAGGACACGAGGGACUAAAGUCCAAAUGCACAGGCCACUGUCAAUCCUAAGAGGGACAAAUGGGCUGGACGGGGACAGGGAGGAAAGACAAAGGGGGACUGGAUCUCAUCUUCAUGCCAGGCCUUGGGUUUGACAAACAUGGCAACCGACUGGGAAGGGGCAAGGGCUACUAUGAUGCCUACCUGAAGCGCUGUUUGCAGCAUCAGGAAGUGAAGCCCUACACCCUGGCGCUGGCUUUCAAAGAACAGAUUUGCCUCCAGGUCCCAGUGAAUGAAAAUGACAUGAAGGUAGAUGAAGUCCUUUACGAAGACUCCUCAGCAUCUUAAAUCUGGAUAAUUACAGCCAAAUAAUUAGUGUUUUAUACGAGAGUAAAGCAAAUUAUGUCUAUUUUUCCCUUGUCAAAAAUUAAAAUUGUAAUUAUAAAAUACCUUAUAUAAAACUGUCUUUAAAAACAAAUAGAAGUGUGAAUAGUAGACUAUUAAUGAAAAUGGAGGCUGUCAUCCUAAGAUUUUCAGCUUAA